RNAcentral lists this ribosomal RNA (241 nucleotides) under Trypanosoma sp. RNAcentral's name for it is "partial small subunit ribosomal RNA". It matches the Rfam family "Eukaryotic small subunit ribosomal RNA", at positions 413 to 644 of the family's 1831-position model. Lineage: Eukaryota; Euglenozoa; Kinetoplastea; Trypanosomatida; Trypanosomatidae. The record is from RNAcentral.
CUUCUACGGAGGGCAGCAGGCGCGCAAAUUGCCCAAUGUCAAAAAAAAAACGAUGAGGCAGCGAAAAGAAAUAGAGCCGGCAGUGCCAAUGGCAUUGCCGUUUUCAAUGGGGGAUAUCUAAACCCAUCCAAAAUCGAGUAUCAAUUGGAGGACAAGUCUGGUGCCAGCACCCGCGGUAAUUCCAGCUCCAAAAGCGUAUAUUAAUGCUGUUGCUGUUAAAGGGUUCGUAGUUGAAUUGAGG